RNAcentral lists this ribosomal RNA (264 nucleotides) under uncultured archaeon. RNAcentral describes it as "partial 16S ribosomal RNA". It matches the Rfam family "Archaeal small subunit ribosomal RNA", at positions 717 to 982 of the family's 1478-position model. The record is from RNAcentral.
ACACGACUACAUUAGAUACCCCUGUAGUCCUAGCCGUAAACGAUACUCGCUAGGUGUCGGCCACGGUGCGACCGUUGUCGGUGCCGUAGGGAAACCGUGAAACGUGCCGCCUGGGAAGUACGGUCGCAAGGCUGAAACUUAAAGGAAUUGGCGGGGAGCACCACAACAGGUGGAGCCUGCGGUUUAAUUGGAUUCAACGCCGGACAUCUCACCGGAUAAGACAGCUGAAUGAUUGUCAAUCUGAAGGUUUUACAUGACUAGCUG